Molecule: ribosomal RNA, 254 nt
Filed under: uncultured bacterium
Lineage: Bacteria
Description: partial 16S ribosomal RNA
Rfam family: Bacterial small subunit ribosomal RNA
Source: RNAcentral
UACAGAGGUCUCAAGCGUUGUUCGGAUUCAUUGGGCGUAAAGGGUGCGUAGGUGGCGCCGUAAGUCAGGUGUGAAAUUUCGGAGCUUAACUCCGAAACUGCAUUUGAUACUGCGGUGCUUGAGGACUGGAGAGGAGACUGGAAUUUACGGUGUAGCAGUGAAAUGCGUAGAGAUCGUAAGGAAGACCAGUGGCGAAGGCGGGUCUCUGGACAGUUCCUGACACUGAGGCACGGAAGGCCAGGGGAGCAAACGGG